RNAcentral lists this ribosomal RNA (763 nucleotides) under uncultured Streptococcus sp. RNAcentral's name for it is "bacterial SSU rRNA". It matches the Rfam family "Bacterial small subunit ribosomal RNA", at positions 28 to 776 of the family's 1533-position model. Lineage: Bacteria; Bacillati; Bacillota; Bacilli; Lactobacillales; Streptococcaceae. The record is from RNAcentral.
GACGAACGCUGGCGGCGUGCCUAAUACAUGCAAGUAGAAUGCUGAAGGAGGAGCUUGCUUCUCUGGAUGAGUUGCGAACGGGUGAGUAACGCGUAGGUAACCUGCCUGGUAGCGGGGGAUAACUAUUGGAAACGAUAGCUAAUACCGCAUAAUAGUAGAUGUUGCAUGACAUUUGCUUAAAAGGUGCAAUUGCAUCACUACCAGAUGGACCUGCGUUGUAUUAGCUAGUUGGUGGGGUAACGGCUCACCAAGGCGACGAUACAUAGCCGACCUGAGAGGGUGAUCGGCCACACUGGGACUGAGACACGGCCCAGACUCCUACGGGAGGCAGCAGUAGGGAAUCUUCGGCAAUGGACGGAAGUCUGACCGAGCAACGCCGCGUGAGUGAAGAAGGUUUUCGGAUCGUAAAGCUCUGUUGUAAGAGAAGAACGAGUGUGAGAGUGGAAAGUUCACACUGUGACGGUAUCUUACCAGAAAGGGACGGCUAACUACGUGCCAGCAGCCGCGGUAAUACGUAGGUCCCGAGCGUUGUCCGGAUUUAUUGGGCGUAAAGCGAGCGCAGGCGGUUAGAUAAGUCUGAAGUUAAAGGCUGUGGCUUAACCAUAGUACGCUUUGGAAACUGUUUAACUUGAGUGCAAGAGGGGAGAGUGGAAUUCCAUGUGUAGCGGUGAAAUGCGUAGAUAUAUGGAGGAACACCGGUGGCGAAAGCGGCUCUCUGGCUUGUAACUGACGCUGAGGCUCGAAAGCGUGGGGAGCAAACAGG